This 22-nucleotide microRNA is filed under the name Ptychodera flava. Its description in RNAcentral is "Pfl-Novel-1_3p* (star (passenger))". Lineage: Eukaryota; Metazoa; Hemichordata; Enteropneusta; Ptychoderidae. The record is from RNAcentral.
CGUGGUCAGUCUUGAUGAAAAC